RNAcentral lists this unclassified non-coding RNA (237 nucleotides) under Hevea brasiliensis (rubber tree). The record is from RNAcentral. Lineage: Eukaryota; Viridiplantae; Streptophyta; Magnoliopsida; Malpighiales; Euphorbiaceae.
GAGCUGUACUAUGCCGGAAUGUUCCACAUUCAAUUAUAAAGUUUUAUACAUAUGAAAGCUUGAAGCAGUUGAUGUUGUCUUCACAAAAUCUGAAUGCGCAACCUAACACGUUACAAACACUAGUUUGUGGAGGACUGGCAGGAUCCACUGCUGCCUGCUGCUUUAUUCACAACUCCUUUUGAUGUGGUGAAGACUAGACUACAGACGCAGAUUCCUGGUUCCAUGAACCAAUAUGAC